CGGACGGGUGAGUAAUGUCUGGGAAACUGCCUGAUGGAGGGGGGUAACUACUGGAAACGGUAGCUAAUACCGCAUAACGUCGCAAGACCAAAGAGGGGGACCUUCGGGCCUCUUGCCAUCGGAUGUGCCCAGAUGGGAUUAGCUAGUAGGUGGGGUAACGGCUCACCUAGGCGACGAUCCCUAGCUGGUCGGAGAGGAUGACCAGCCACACUGGAACUGAGACACGGUCCAG
RNAcentral lists this ribosomal RNA (232 nucleotides) under uncultured bacterium. RNAcentral describes it as "partial 16S ribosomal RNA". It matches the Rfam family "Bacterial small subunit ribosomal RNA", at positions 99 to 334 of the family's 1533-position model. The record is from RNAcentral.